AACGUAGGAGACGAACGUUAUCCGGAGUUACUGGGCGUAAAGGGCGUGCAGGCGGUCUGAUAAGUUCGGCGUGAAAUAUUCCGGCUUAACCGGGAUAGGUCGUCGGAGACUGUCGGACUAGAGGGUGAUAGAGGCGUGUGGAAUUCCGGGUGUAGUGGUGAAAUGCGUAGAGAUCCGGAGGAACACCGACGGCGCAGGCAGCGUCCUGGCCGCUUGCUGACACUGAGGCACGAAAGCUGGGGGAGCAAACAGG
This 253-nucleotide ribosomal RNA is filed under the name uncultured bacterium. Its description in RNAcentral is "partial 16S ribosomal RNA". It matches the Rfam family "Bacterial small subunit ribosomal RNA", at positions 524 to 776 of the family's 1533-position model. The record is from RNAcentral.